GUGUCAAACAUAAGGCCCGUGGGCCAAAAUCAGGCCACAAGAGGCUCAAAUCUGGCCAAACCACAAAGAAAAUUUUAAGAGUAA
Molecule: long non-coding RNA, 84 nt
Organism: Salarias fasciatus (jewelled blenny)
Lineage: Eukaryota; Metazoa; Chordata; Actinopteri; Blenniiformes; Blenniidae
Exons: 3
Source: RefSeq, a predicted model, not a curated record